This 3020-nucleotide long non-coding RNA is filed under the name Homo sapiens (human). The record is from RNAcentral. Lineage: Eukaryota; Metazoa; Chordata; Mammalia; Primates; Hominidae.
CCACUCUCCUGCCUGGGCUGCUGCUCAACGGGGGCUGGGGGUGUGUGGGGCGGGGGUGGUCUGUCCAGUGAUUCAGCCACAUGUGAUAGAUGACCAAGUGACUGCUUUCUUGGAGUCCGCACACCAGUGGAAGACUCUCAAAGUGGUUGUGACCGACUUGAUCAAACUCUAGGCUUCCUGAACUGGAAAAGCGCCUCGUGUGAUCUGGAACAAAGACGUUUUAUAAUCAGAUUUAUCAAGCUGCGAAGAGGGAGUUUUAGUGAACGGAAGCAGCAGCAUUCUGUCACCAGGAAAUACUCCUUUAUCCAGAAUUGGAGGUAUAAACCAGUGGAGUUUAUCAUUGAAUAGAGUGCAGAGAAAGGACCGCAAGAAAGCUGAUCACCUCAGCAAUGAAUGAUUUCAAUACGAUUUCACCCAAAUGGUCUCACACACCAGCCUAGUAAACCAGAGAUAAGGUGUAAUGUCAUCCUUCCUUCCUUCUCCCUGCCUCAACUGUCAAAGAUUGACAACUUACAUGUUGUUUACUUUUUGGCUUCUAUUUCUGUUCAUAAUUAUUAUCAGAAGGCAUAGCACCCACAAGCCUAAUCAUACUGCCUUACAACCUUAUUCCUCUUCAUUUUGUCUUCUCACUUACCUGCAGAAACCCAGUUUAUUUUUGUUCUCCCUUUACCACACCAGCCUUGUAACUGUUAUGAAUGACCCUCAAUCUCACUGGAAUCUGAAUCACUCAGGAAUUCAAGCAAACUGGAUGUUUUAACCACUGUUCAGCUUUCUUAUGGAAUGACAGAGAACUUGUAAAGAUAAAACACCAGUUUGCAGGAAGAAAGGAAGAGAAUGGAAAUUGCUUCUGGAAAAUACUAGUUUUACAAUAUGUUUUGUUUGUCUGCUCUCUUAAAUAAACUUAAUCCUAUAAACAUUUUUUAAGAACUAGCCAUUAAGACUGUUAAGUUCUCAAUUAUAAAGGAAUAAAAUGUUUUAAGGAGGAUUUAUUUGCCCUUGCUUAUAUGAACUGCAUAUUUUUAGUAGGAAAUCAUGUAAUUUAAAUUAGUAUUGGUUAACAGAUUUAACGUAGAAAAUGGACAUAUAAAGAAUACAAGGAUAAAUGUCUACAUGUAAUAAUGGAUGGUAGUGAUAUAAUGCAUUUUUGUCAUCCCAUGCUGAAUUCAGUAAAAAUAAAGCUAAUGACUUGGAGCUUUUAAAAGAUUGUACUGUUCUCUGUGUGUGUCUUUUGGCUUCCUACUCACCAAUCAGUUCUAUUAUCUAUUCUGUACCUGAGCCACUGGCUUUUGUGACCCGGGAAGAGAAAGUAAUUCCACUUAAGACGUUUGACAGGCUUUUAAGAGAAAUAAGUGGCUCUGUGCAACAUGGUUAUGUUUAAUAAAUCAUAAUUACCAAAGGGACAGUUUCUCUUCUCCCAUGUCCACUCAUACUUUUUUUUUUUUUUUUUUAAAGAGAUGAGUUCUCAUUCUGUCAUUCAGGCUGGAGUGCACUGGUACAGAACUCUUGGGCUCAAGUGAUCCUCUCGCCUCAGCCUCCAAAAGUGCUGGGAUUACAGGCUUGAACCACCAUGCCCAGUCCUCCACUCCUUACUUCUGAUGUUCUUUGAGUCCCUUUGCCUAUCAUUAAAUGAGAAGGUGUUGACAGUGGUGCCAGGUGUGAAGAACUCCCUAAUUCCAUUGAUAAGUUUACAUUUCCCUCUCAGGUACAAGUAUUGGGUUGAUCCUCAAAGCAAGAUUGAAUGUUGUGAUAAUAUAAUAAGAAAAAGACAUAUUUGGUCUUCACCCUCAGUUCCUGGAACAGAGCUGCUAAAACUGUCAUAAUUUUCUAACUAAUAGAGGUGAUAGCAUCUUUUGUUAAAGUAUUUGGUCUUAGUCCCCUGUUCCUGACACAAGAGCUUCUAAGAUCCUUGGACUCUCUGGAGUGAUGAGUGUCUUUCUGUAUGCUAACAAGAUAAUGAGAUGACUUGGCUUAGCGGGGAGUAGAGGUGGUGGCAAGUUAGCUUCAGGAUGAAGGCUGGUUGUCAGAAAGACCAAGGUAUGAUUAGAGGGUUGGAGCUUUCAACAUUCAAUCCCACCCCUGACCUCUGACAACUGAGUUGAUCACUGUCUUAGUCCAUUCAUGCUGGUAUAACAAAGUACCCGCGACUGGGUAAUUUAUAAUGAACAGUAAUUUAUUUUCUUAUAGUCCUAGAAGCUGGGAAGUCCAAGGCCAAGGCCUUGGCACUCAGUGUUGGGUGAGGGCCUUCUUACUGCUUCUUCAUAUGAUGAUGAACGGGCAAAAAGAAGAUGAAUGCUGUGUCUUCACAUAGGAGAAGAGAAAGAACACACUCCGUCAAGCCCCUUUUAAAGAGCCUAAUCCCAUCAGUGAGGCCUCUUCCCUUGUAACCUAAUCACCUCUUAAAGCCUGUACCUCUUAAUACUAUCACACUGAUGACUAAGGUUCAACAUAUGAACUUCGGAGGACACAAUCAGACCAUAGUGUCUGGCUCCUGGCCCCCCAAAUUUAUGUUCUUACGUAUGAAAUAUAUUCAUUCCAUCUCAGUAGCCCCAGAGAUCUUAACUUGUUCCAGCAUCAACUCAAAAGUCUAGAAUCUCAUGUAAAUCAGAUAUGAGUGAGACUGAAGGUAAGGUUCAUUCUGAGACAAAUUGCUUUUGUGCUGUGAACCUAUAAGGUCAAACAAGUUAUAUACUUCCAAAAUACAAUGGUGGAACAACCAUAGGAUAGACAUUUCCAUUCCAAAACAAAGCAAUAGGAAAGAAAGAAGGAAUAACAGGUCCUAAGUAAGUGCUAAAACCAACAAGGUAAACAACAUUAAAUCUUAAGGCUUGAGAAUAAUCUAGACACACUGGAGUGGAGGUUAAGCCCCCAAGGCCAUAGGGGGCCUCAGCCCCAUGGUUUUGUUGGGCAUAUUCUAUACAGCACCUCGCAAGUUGGAGUUGGGUGUCUGCAGCUCUCCCAGGCUAGGAUCACACUCCAGUGGCUCUGCAGUACUGGAGUCUCAGAGGCAGUCCCAAUCUUAU